RNAcentral lists this ribosomal RNA (391 nucleotides) under uncultured bacterium. Its description in RNAcentral is "bacterial SSU rRNA". It matches the Rfam family "Bacterial small subunit ribosomal RNA", at positions 33 to 424 of the family's 1533-position model. The record is from RNAcentral.
ACGCUGGCGGCAUGCUUUACACAUGCAAGUCGAACGGCAGCACGGGUGCUUGCACCUGGUGGCGAGUGGCGAACGGGUGAGUAAUGCACCGGAACGUACCCAGUAAUGGGGGAUAACACAUCGAAAGAUGUGCUAAUACCGCAUACGCCCUGAGGGGGAAAGCGGGGGAUCGUAAGACCUCGCGUUAUUGGAGCGGCCGAUGCCGGAUUAGCUAGUUGGUGAGGUAAGAGCUCACCAAGGCGACGAUCCGUAGCUGGUCUGAGAGGACGACCAGCCACACUGGGACUGAGACACGGCCCAGACUCCUACGGGAGGCAGCAGUGGGGAAUUUUGGACAAUGGGCGCAAGCCUGAUCCGGCCAUGCCGCGUGAGUGAAGAAGGCCUUCGGGUU